RNAcentral lists this unclassified non-coding RNA (201 nucleotides) under plant metagenome. Its description in RNAcentral is "partial contains small subunit ribosomal RNA, internal transcribed spacer 1, and 5.8S ribosomal RNA". The record is from RNAcentral.
UCUCCGUUGGUGAACCAGCGGAGGGAUCAUUAUCGAGUUUAUAACUCCCAAACCCUAUGUGAACUUACCACUUGCUGCUUCGGCGCGCGCUUCGGCGCCGCCGAGGACACUUAAACUCUUUGUUUUUAUAAGCAUUUCUGAGUGGCCGAAAGGCAAAAUACGAAUGAAUCAAAACUUUCAACAACGGAUCUCUUGGUUCUG